RNAcentral lists this long non-coding RNA (431 nucleotides) under Citrus sinensis (sweet orange). Its description in RNAcentral is "long non-coding RNA (CSIN_LNC001168)". The record is from RNAcentral. Lineage: Eukaryota; Viridiplantae; Streptophyta; Magnoliopsida; Sapindales; Rutaceae.
UUCAUUUCCAUCUCCAAAUCCUUUUCUUUUUCUUUUUAAUUUUUGCAUCCAGCAAGUGCUACGUUUUGCCACUGCUCCAAAUCCUUGGAUUUGUGUGAGUGUGAUAAGUAAAGUUUUGUCUUGUUUAAUUAUUAUUUCCUUUAAAAUAUUACAAAUUUACUAUAUAUUUGAUAUUUUGAAAUUUUACAAUGAUUAUUAUCAAUAUUGCAGUAUGUUAGAUUGUUAAUAACAUUUUAUUUACUUUUUGGUGUAGGAUUUUUGUUUUCAAGGUGAAAAAGACAAAUGAAGAGAAUUAAAGAAAUUACCUUACUUUAUAAUUUGAAUUUGAAUUAUUAUUAUUUGUAUUAUUAGGGAUUUAUAAUUUGGUAUUUAGAUGACUGCAUAAUAUGGUUUGAGUUAUUUGUAUUUUGUUGUGGGAUGUUAAACUUGUG